AUUAAUUAAAUAAUUAAUUUUUCAAAAAACCCAACACAUCAUCACAUUUACAUGUACAACAUGUUAGUUUUUUACUUGAUGAACAAAUAAACCAGAUUGAAAAUUUUUGUGAUACAAGUGUCACUUUGAAGGUUUAAAGUGUCACUAGAAGUCACUUUUAAAGUUUUUUAUGCGAUUUAUCCGUUAAAGAUUUUAUUAAAUCAAAUGGUUAUGUUGCUUUGGUUUUAAACCAAACUGAACCAAAAAAACCAAAGUGUUUUUUAAUUAGAUUAACUAAAUAUACGCUAACAAAGAAAAACUAAAUAUACUAAUAAUAUUAAAAUUUAAGAUAUUUAACCUAAACAACUAAACAUAAAUUUGUAUAUUUUUCUUAUAAAUGAAUAGAAAAAGACAACCAAAAUAAAAUAAAAGAAUAUGAAUGUUAUGCUCUAACAUCAAAACCGAAAACUAUCUAUUAUAUUUAUGUCUGUUUGAAGAUAAUAAUAUAAAAUUAUUAGAUUAUAUUCUAUAUUUUUAUCAGAUGUUUAGAUUUACGUUUAAAUACGAAUAAAAAAAAUAAUUUAGUGUGAUGAUUUGUUUUAAAAAUUAUAUUUUUGUAACCGAUUUAAAACAAAACUAAAAGAUCAACUUGAUUUAACUAAACAAACAAAAAAGAAACAAACUACCUUGAACUGAACGCAAACGAAACUAAACUAUAACCAAACCAAAUACAAACCAAACUGAACUAAAUCUGAAUUAAAACGAAUACAAACUAUACCAAAUUGAUUUUGGUUAAAUUUUUCUUAAAUCCAAAUAAAUCAAACCAAGCCGAAUCUAACCCAAACUAAACCUGAAUUUAAACCAAAAUGGGUAAACCGCCAAUCUACAUGUUUGUGUUAAAUGAUAGAUGAUUCAACCGAGAGAGAUGGUUAAAACUACACCGGGAAAAAAAACUCAAACCAAAACCUUCCGCGCAAAUCAGAGGUAUCACUCACUAUCACAGCAGCAAGCAUCUCUUCCCCAUCUUCUCUGGUUGCUUCUUCCAAACUGAAGCAUCCACUAAUUGACGUUACUGACGAAGAGAAAUUUGCUCAUUCUCGAUUACAAAGUCACCAAAGUAUCCACCCCUUCACCUUCCCGAAGUUGGCUCAUUUACUCGUACGACAUCGUUUUUUAACCUCCCAUCACUCGUUCAAGUCGUUGCCUCAUGGAUCUCUUCUUCCUCACUGGAAAUAGUUGCGGAAUGUUUGUAGUCACUGGUGUUGGAUCUUCACUUGCUGUUCUCUUAGCUACUACUUCUCAAUUUCCAGGAAAGGCGCAAUCCAUUGCAUUGUUUAUGUGUGGGUUUGGAUCACAAUGAUAAUGAAGAGAGUGAAAGAAUCAUUAGCAGCUUUGAUGAAACUAAAGGCAUCGACGGAAGCGCCUGGCUUACGCCCCGGAGCUCCGCUGGAGGAGGACCUCGACCAACCAACCUAACUAUCUCGACUCGGAGACAAAAGCUCCGCCAUACCAACACUGCGCACAAGGAAGCACGAGUUACGGUCAAGCGUAGGCGGUACAACUGACUCCAAAAACCGCCCACGCGACACACAAGAUGCAGCAGAAACCAUGCUUUUAAGCAUGAGCCUCAGAUCAUAUGCUAUAUGAGUUGAGCCUUAGCUGUCCAACUCUGAUCAUGAACAUGUAACUUGCAGUUAAGUUGUUCAGAUAACUGAAGAGGAAGAACUGGCAGAUGAGUUGUGUACUAGACGAGAGUAUGCUAGAUGGCUAGUUCGUUCAAACAUUUUUAUUAGAGAGGUAAUGAAUGCUACUUCUGCAGAUCCUGACUUCGAGUACAUACAAGCUUUGGCAGAGGCAGGCAUAACGUUAUCGGGGGAAGAUACUAACAUUAAUUUUUAUCCUGAGAGAGAGGUAUAUAAAGAGGAUAUAAGCUUAUUACUUCAUCUGCUAUUGUUUUUGUUUUUCAUUGAUGUCUUAUUGUUUCAACAUUUAUGGUUCCUCCAGUUUUGUUACCCGGCUCCGAUUUGAUUAACUGGAAAGCUCAAUUGUAUUGUAAUUCAGUCCUGGUUUUAAAAUUUGAAACAAACCAAUCUUUGGUUUCAAAAGAGUAAUAAAGUUGAGAAUAAUCACACUACAGAAUCCAUUUUGAUACUAUUCCCACUCACAAAAUGUCUCCCAAAAUUCAAAAUUUGAAGAGCGAUUUACAGAACAUAAACCGUUAAAUGGAAUGGAAUCUUCACGACAUUGUCAACUAUCAAAAGCCCACCAGUCGACAUUAUCAGCAACCAAAGGGACAGAUCUAUUCUUCUUCUUCUUCUUUGUCUUCCUUCCCUAAUCUGAAACCUGGUAAG
This is a long non-coding RNA of Brassica napus (rape), 2330 nucleotides long. RefSeq lists it as uncharacterized. The record is from RefSeq and is a predicted model, not a curated record. The transcript is spliced from 5 exons. NCBI's taxonomy places the organism in Eukaryota, Viridiplantae, Streptophyta, Magnoliopsida, Brassicales, Brassicaceae.